This 649-nucleotide ribosomal RNA is filed under the name uncultured fungus. RNAcentral's name for it is "eukaryotic LSU rRNA". The stretch from base 286 to 444 matches the Rfam family "5.8S ribosomal RNA". Lineage: Eukaryota; Fungi. The record is from RNAcentral.
GGAAGUAAAUAGUCGUAACAAGGUCUUUGGUAGGUGAAACUUGCGGAGGGAUCAUUUAUUCGACACAUAUCGGACCAAAUAUGUUUGAAGUGUGUCACCACAGCUUGCUGUGGCAUGGGUUGUAAUAGUUCAUUCCCUUUCCCGGCUAUUACUUAUCCCACCGAUAGGUGAAAGGAAGGUUAUCAGUAAUCGGAUUCAUACUUCGGUAUGAAGUGAUAACCCGCCCUUUGGGUGUGUUGUAAUAGAAGUACUUUCCCUUCUAUUGCUUAUACAACCGAUAGGAUAGAUGCUUUGCGAUGGAUGACUAGGGUCUUGUAUCGAUGAAGAACGCAGUUAAACGUGACAUUUAAUGUGACUUGCAACUCCCGUGAAUCAUCGAGAUUUUGAACACAUACGGAACUCUUGCUGCUUUCGAGUAGCAAGGGUACUUGCUUGUGAGUGUCAGUUACCAUUCAUAUUAGCUCUGAGCGAUAAUCUGCACUAACCCUGCCAGGUUAUAAAAGAUUGCUCUCAGCUAUCUUCAGUCUUAGGAUUGAACACGGUAUGCAUGAAGGCUUUGCCAGAUUGCAAUUUUAUUAUAUCUGGCCUCAUUUGUGAGUGGUUACCCACUGAAUUUAAGCAUAUUAGUCAGCGGAGGAAAGGGCGAUCC